GCGGCAGACGGGUGAGUAACGCGUGGGAAUCAUCCCUUCAGUGAGGAAUAACUCCGAGAAAUUGGAGCUAAUACUGCAUACGUCCCAUUGGGAGAAAGGCGGCUUUAUGCUGUCGCUGAAGGACGAGCCUGCGUACUAUCAACUAGUUGGUGAGGUAAUGGCUCACCAAGGCUAUGACGGUUAGCCGGCCUGAGAGGGUGUACGGCCACACUGGAACUUAGACACGGUCCAGACUCCUACGGGAGGCAGCAGUGAGGAAUCUUGCACAAUGGGCGAAAGCCUGAUGCAGCGACGCCGCGUGGAGGAUGAAGGUCUUCGGAUUGUAAACUUCUGUUAAGUGGGAAGAAAAGCCUAGGUAUAAUACACCUAGGUGAUGACGGUACCAUUAAAGAAAGCACCGGCUAACUUCGUGCCAGCAGCCGCGGUAAUACGAAGGGUGCAAGCGUUAUUCGGAAUUAUUGGGCGUAAAGGGUGCGCAGGCGGCAUGCUAAGUCAGCUGUUUAAUUUCUCGGCCUAACUGAGAGUCAGCAGCAGAUACUGGUGUGCUAGAGGGUGGAAGAGAGAAGUGGAAUUCUCGGAGUAGCGGUAAAAUGCGUAGAUCUCGAGAGGAACACCAAUGGCGAAGGCAGCUUCUUGGUCCACACCUGACGCUCAUGCACGAAAGCGUGGGGAGCAAACAGGAUUAGAUACCCUGGUAGUCCAC
This 703-nucleotide ribosomal RNA is filed under the name uncultured Pseudomonadaceae bacterium. RNAcentral's name for it is "bacterial SSU rRNA". It matches the Rfam family "Bacterial small subunit ribosomal RNA", at positions 95 to 798 of the family's 1533-position model. Lineage: Bacteria; Pseudomonadati; Pseudomonadota; Gammaproteobacteria; Pseudomonadales; Pseudomonadaceae. The record is from RNAcentral.